This 73-nucleotide transfer RNA is filed under the name Phycis blennoides. Its description in RNAcentral is "tRNA-Asn". It matches the Rfam family "tRNA". Rfam says of the family: Transfer RNA (tRNA) molecules are approximately 80 nucleotides in length. Their secondary structure includes four short double-helical elements and three loops (D, anti-codon, and T loops). Further hydrogen bonds mediate the characteristic L-shaped molecular structure. tRNAs have two regions of fundamental functional importance: the anti-codon, which is responsible for specific mRNA codon recognition, and the 3' end, to which the tRNAs corresponding amino acid is attached (by aminoacyl-tRNA synthetases). tRNAs cope with the degeneracy of the genetic code in two manners: having more than one tRNA (with a specific anti-codon) for a particular amino acid; and 'wobble' base-pairing, i.e. permitting non-standard base-pairing at the 3rd anti-codon position. Lineage: Eukaryota; Metazoa; Chordata; Actinopteri; Gadiformes; Phycidae. The record is from RNAcentral.
UAGAUGAAUGCUUAUUGGUUUAAGCGCUUAGCUGUUAACUAAGAGAUUAAAGGAUCGAAGCCUUUUCAUCUAG